UACGGAAGGCAGCAGUGGGGAAUAUUGCACAAUGGGCGCAAGCCUGAUGCAGCCAUGCCGCGUGUAUGAAGAAGGCCUUCGGGUUGUAAAGUACUUUCAGUCGUGAGGAAGGUGUUAAGGUUAAUAACCUUAGCAAUUGACGUUAGCGACAGAAGAAGCACCGGCUAACUCCGUGCCAGCAGCCGCGGUAAUACGGAGGGUGCGAGCGUUAAUCGGAAUUACUGGGCGUAAAGGGCACGCAGGCGGUUAAUUAAGUUGGAUGUGAAAUCCCCGGGCUUAACCUGGGAAUGGCAUUCAAGACUGGUUAGCUAGAGUCUUGUAGAGGGGGUAGAAUUCCAUGUGUAGCGGUGAGAUGCGUAGAGAUGUGGAGGAUACCGGUGGCGAAGGCGGCCCCUGGGACAAGACUGACGCUCAUGUGCGAAAGCGUGGGGAGCAAACAGGAUUAGGAUACC
RNAcentral lists this ribosomal RNA (452 nucleotides) under uncultured bacterium. RNAcentral describes it as "bacterial SSU rRNA". It matches the Rfam family "Bacterial small subunit ribosomal RNA", at positions 340 to 786 of the family's 1533-position model. The record is from RNAcentral.